Molecule: ribosomal RNA, 520 nt
Filed under: Habronattus contigens
Lineage: Eukaryota; Metazoa; Arthropoda; Arachnida; Araneae; Salticidae
Description: partial 16S ribosomal RNA
Rfam family: Bacterial large subunit ribosomal RNA (bases 185-479)
Source: RNAcentral
CUCUAUUAGUAAUAAUUAAUAGUAAGAUCUGCUCCAUGAAUAAUAAAUAGCCGCAAUUUGUGCAAAGGUAGCAUAAUCAUUUGUCUUUUAAAUGAAGACUAGAACAAAAGAUUUAACAUUUCAAUAUAUUUUCCUAAUAUAUACAAUUAAAUUUUUCCUAAAUGUAAAAAGACAUUUAUAUUCAAGAAAGACGAUAAGACCCUAUUGAACUUUACUUUAGUUAAACUGGGGCAGUAAAUUAAUUAUUAUUUUAAUUUAAAUUAAUAAACAAAUAUCUAAUAAAAUUAAAUAAUUCAGUUACCAUAGGGAUAACAGCGUAAUAGUAUUUUAAAGAUCUUAUUAAAAAAACAGAUUACGACCUCGAUGUUGAAUUAAUACCCUAAUUAAGGCAAAACUUAAAAAAGGAAGUCUGUUCGACUUUUAAAAAAUUACAUGAUUUGAGUUCAGACCGGCGUAAGCCAGGUCGGUUUCUAUCUUCUAAAUAAUUUUUUACAGUACGAAAGGACCUAAAAAUAUAAUU